Molecule: ribosomal RNA, 253 nt
Filed under: uncultured bacterium
Lineage: Bacteria
Description: partial 16S ribosomal RNA
Rfam family: Bacterial small subunit ribosomal RNA
Source: RNAcentral
UACGAGAGGCCCAAACGUUAUUCGGAAUUACUGGGCUUAAAGAGUUCGUAGGCGGCAUGAAAAGUAGGGUGUGAAAGCCCUCGGCUUAACCGAGGAAUUGCGCUCUAAACUGUCGUGCUAGAGGAACCUAGAGGUGAGCAGAACAGAUGGUGGAGCGGUGAAAUGCGUUGAUAUCAUCUGGAAUACCGGAGGCGAAGGCGGGUUGCUGGGCCGACACUGACGCUGAUGCGCGAAAGCCAGGGGAGCGAACGGG